This is a long non-coding RNA of Anolis carolinensis (green anole), 301 nucleotides long. RefSeq lists it as uncharacterized. The record is from RefSeq and is a predicted model, not a curated record. The transcript is spliced from 3 exons. NCBI's taxonomy places the organism in Eukaryota, Metazoa, Chordata, Lepidosauria, Squamata, Anolidae.
UCGGAAACAGCCGCUGGCAAAGAGAGCUUCGGGGAGCAAAAGCCAAGUAUAGCAUCCAAAAUGUUAGAGGUUGGAAUGGUGGAACUAAAACCACAUCCUGUACGCAGCAUGUGAGGCUAUAAAACCCAUUUCUUCCUUGCAGAGCCACUGACAUGUCCCUUCACAAGAUGCACGGCUGGCUAUGACCCGUUUCAGAAUUUUUGUGGCAUCCCAUGUUGGCCGCUACGAAUUUCUACAUUAUGGGUAGCACCCGUGAUAUAGCCUACUAAAUCACUCAGCUUUGACACUGAGGCACAACUCU